UCCUACGGGGCGCAGCAGUGAGGAAUAUUGGUCAAUGGCCGGGAGGCUGAACCAGCCAAGUCGCGUGAGGGAAGACGGCCCUACGGGUUGUAAACCUCUUUUGUCAGGGAGCAAGGUGCAGGUCGGGACCUGCUGUGAGAGUACCUGAAGAAAAAGCAUCGGCUAACUCCGUGCCAGCAGCCGCGGUAAUACGGAAGGUCCGGGCGUUAUCCGGAUUUAUUGGGUUUAAAGGGAGCGUAGGCCGGCUUUUAAGUCAGCUGUGAACGUCCGCGGCUCAACCGGGGAAUUGCAGUUGAAACUGGAGG
RNAcentral lists this ribosomal RNA (305 nucleotides) under uncultured bacterium. Its description in RNAcentral is "bacterial SSU rRNA". It matches the Rfam family "Bacterial small subunit ribosomal RNA", at positions 337 to 639 of the family's 1533-position model. The record is from RNAcentral.